Molecule: unclassified non-coding RNA, 362 nt
Filed under: uncultured fungus
Lineage: Eukaryota; Fungi
Description: partial contains small subunit ribosomal RNA, internal transcribed spacer 1, and 5.8S ribosomal RNA
Rfam family: Eukaryotic small subunit ribosomal RNA (bases 1-73)
Source: RNAcentral
GCAAACUUGGUCAUUUAGAGGAAGUAAAAGUCGUAACAAGGUUUCCGUAGGUGAACCUGCGGAAGGAUCAUUAACGAAUAACUAUGGUGUCUUGGUUGUCGCUGGCUCCUCGGAGCAUUGUGCACGCCCGCCAUUUUUAUCUAUCCACCUGUGCACCGAAUGUAGGUCUGGAUGACUCUCGCCUUCGGGCGGAUGCGAGGUUUGCGUGCGAGCGCUCUCCUCGAAUUUCCAGGCUCUACGUCUCUUUACACACCCCAAACGUAUGAUGCAGAAUGUAGUCAAUGGGCCUUUACAAGCCUAUAAAACACUAUACAACUUUCAGCAACGGAUCUCUUGGCUCUCGCAUCGAUGAAGAACGCAGC